Molecule: unclassified non-coding RNA, 220 nt
Filed under: Hevea brasiliensis (rubber tree)
Lineage: Eukaryota; Viridiplantae; Streptophyta; Magnoliopsida; Malpighiales; Euphorbiaceae
Source: RNAcentral
GCAGACUGGAGUUGCUAAAAUGAAUUUUUCAAGAAUUGGAACACCUCUGUGCAAGUAUAGUGGAUUUGCUCAUGGAUCAGGGGAUAAAGAUUAUAUUAAUGGUCAUGAAGUUAUACCCUCAACGAGUGCAAGGCUUCCUUUUAUUGAGAAGAUACCUCCAUAUACUACCUGGAUAUUUUUGGACAGGAAUCAGAGGAUGGCCGAAGACCAGUCAGUGGUG